Manis javanica (Malayan pangolin) is the source of this 999-nucleotide non-coding RNA. The record is from RefSeq and is a predicted model, not a curated record. NCBI's taxonomy places the organism in Eukaryota, Metazoa, Chordata, Mammalia, Pholidota, Manidae.
UUUUGUUUAAGGGACUUCCACGUCUGAUUCCUGGCUCUCCUAGACAUCCUGCUUAGGUUACCCAUAGUAGUUUGUUACUUCAGAUGAAGAAAACUGAUUGAUACGAGCAGCUAAAAGUAAAAACAACAACAACAAAGCUCUACUGGCAUUUAACCAUCAAAAUAUUCCUGACCUCUAGACUGAUGCUUUACGCACUGUGACAGACCAGGUGUUCCACCAACAGCUCGACUGCAACCCCAUGAGAGACCUGUGGCCAGAGCCACCCUGCUCAGCUGCCCCGAGAGUCACGACCCUCAGGACUAUGCGAGACAGUCGGUGCUUGUUCUUCCUAACAACGAGGUCUUGGGUCUGCAAUCAAUCUGGAGGAAAGUAUCUCUACGGAUAUUUGGUUGAGUCCAAAGGCAACUCUUGUCUGACAUACUCAAGAUCCCCAAAGCGUAAGUAGUUCUAAUUCAUAAUCUGCAUCCGUAUUUUCAGCUUCAAGAUCCUAGAUUCAGGAAAAUGAAAUAUAGACCUCUCAGGACUCUCUAACUCCUAUUUGUAAAAGCCCAUGGGACGGGGUAAUUCCCAAUGUGAACAAAAUUACAUUGCCUUUGAUAUGUAUAUCCUGAGAUGGUGCUGGCCUAUUAGCACGCUGAACUCAGUUUAUGUUUCAAAUAACAAAGAAAUUAUAAUGCAAGUACUGAACGAACCACGUAACACUCCACGGGAAUUUAGGAUCCCUAGUGUUUCCAGUUGUUAUCAUUGCAAAAGAGAAUUCACACAGGAGUUAAACCUGCGCUUAUUAAGCAAUUCUUUUGAAAAACAGAAACUUCAGAUUAUGUGAAAUGGCUCAAUCUUCUGACAUACAGGGUUCUUACUUUUCCAGUCCAAAGAUAAAUCCAUUCUGUGGAGCGUAAUAUGUGUAAAAUAGAGAAAUAAUUCAGAUUUUGGACAGUUGGUAGGAGGCUCAAAGCAACUUUGUUGGCUUAAAUGGAUGAUGAUCUCUAGUUUUUGUUA